This 375-nucleotide ribosomal RNA is filed under the name uncultured organism. RNAcentral describes it as "partial 16S ribosomal RNA". It matches the Rfam family "Bacterial small subunit ribosomal RNA", at positions 527 to 896 of the family's 1533-position model. The record is from RNAcentral.
GUAGGUGGCAAGCGUCGUCCGGAAUUAUUGGGCGUAAAGCGCGCGCAGGUGGUUCUUUAAGUCUGAUGUGAAAGCCCCCGGCUCAACCGGGGAGGGUCAUUGGAAACUGGGGAACUUGAGUGCAGGAGAGGAAAGUGGAAUUCCACGUGUAGCGGUGAAAUGCGUAGAUAUGUGGAGGAACACCAGUGGCGAAGGCGACUUUCUGGCCUGUAACUGACACUGAGGCGCGAAAGCGUGGGGAGCAAACAGGGAUUAGAUACCCUGGUAGUCCACGCCGUAAACGAUGAGUGCUAAGUGUUGGGGGGGUUUCCCGCCCCGUCAGUGCUGCAGCUAACGCAUUAAGCACUCCGCCUGGGGAGUACGGUCGCAAGACUG